This 1252-nucleotide ribosomal RNA is filed under the name uncultured bacterium. Its description in RNAcentral is "bacterial SSU rRNA". It matches the Rfam family "Bacterial small subunit ribosomal RNA", at positions 197 to 1464 of the family's 1533-position model. The record is from RNAcentral.
GGAUUUAAAGCUUUGGUGGAUACGGAUUGGCUCGCGUGACAUUAGCUAGAUGGUAAGGUAACGGCUUACCAUGGCUAUGAUGUCUAGGGGUUCUGAGAGGAAGGUCCCCCACACUGGAACUGAGACACGGUCCAGACUCCUACGGGAGGCAGCAGUGAGGAAUAUUGGUCAAUGGCCGGAAGGCUGAACCAGCCAUCCCGCGUGCAGGAUGACGGCCCUAUGGGUUGUAAACUGCUUUUGUACCUGAAGAAUAGGCCCAACGAGUUGGGAUUUGCCGGUAAGGUAUGAAUAAGCAUCGGCUAACUCCGUGCCAGCAGCCGCGGUAAUACGGAGGAUGCGAGCGUUAUCCGGAUUCAUUGGGUUUAAAGGGUGCGCAGGUGGGAAAAUAAGUCAGUGGUGAAAUACUGCCGCUUAACGGUAGAAUUGCCAUUGAUACUGUUUUUCUUGAGUAUGGUUGAGGUAGGUGGAAUGUGUUGUGUAGCGGUGAAAUGCAUAGAUAUGACACAGAACGCCGAUUGCGAAGGCAGCUUACUAAGCCAUUACUGACGCUGAGGCACGAAAGCGUGGGGAUCGAACAGGAUUAGAUACCCUGGUAGUCCACGCCGUAAACGAUGAGUACUAGGUGUUGGGGGUAUACAGCAAGCGGCUGAGCGAAAGCAUUAAGUGAUCCACCUGGGGAGUACGAUCGCAAGGUUGAAACUCAAAGGAAUUGACGGGGGCCCGCACAAGCGGAGGAACAUGUGGUUUAAUUCGAUGAUACGCGAGGAACCUUACCUGGGCUUGACAUCCCGGGAAUCUUUAUAGACUUCUUAGUUUACUAAGACACAGAGACAGGUGGUGCAUGGUUGUCGUCAGCUCGUGUCGUGAGAUGUUGGGUUAAGUCCCGCAACGAGCGCAACCCCUACAGCUAGUUGCCAGCACAUAAUGGUGGGAACUCUAGCAGAACUGCCACCGUAAGGUGAGAGGAAGGUGGGGAUGACGUCAAGUCAGCACGGCCCUUAUGUCCAGGGCUACACACGUGUUACAAUGGUCAGUACAAAGGGCAGCUACCUGGUGACAGGGUGCAAAUCUCUAAAACUGAUCCCAGUUCGGAUCGAAGUCUGCAACUCGACUUCGUGAAGUCGGAUUCGCUAGUAAUCGCGCAUCAGCCAUGGCGCGGUGAAUACGUUCCCGGGCCUUGUACACACCGCCCGUCAAGCCAUGGAAGCUGGGGGUGCCUGAAGUUCGUGACCGCAAGGAGCGACCUAAGGCA